UACAGAGGUCUCGAGCGUUAGGCGGAAUCACUGGGCUUAAAGCGUGUGUAGGCGGAUCGUUAAGUGCCUUGUGAAAUCCCACGGCUUAACCGUGGAACUGCUUGGCAUACUGGCGGUCUUGAGCAACCUAGGGGCGAGCGGAACAAUGGUGGAGCGGUGAAAUGCGUAGAUAUCAUUUGGAACGCCAUGGUGAAAACAGCUCGCUGGGGGUUUGCUGACGCUGAGACACGAAAGCCAGGGGAGCAAACGGGG
RNAcentral lists this ribosomal RNA (252 nucleotides) under uncultured bacterium. RNAcentral describes it as "partial 16S ribosomal RNA". It matches the Rfam family "Bacterial small subunit ribosomal RNA", at positions 524 to 777 of the family's 1533-position model. The record is from RNAcentral.